Molecule: ribosomal RNA, 433 nt
Filed under: uncultured bacterium
Lineage: Bacteria
Description: partial 16S ribosomal RNA
Rfam family: Bacterial small subunit ribosomal RNA
Source: RNAcentral
AACGAACGCUGGCGGCAUGCCUAACACAUGCAAGUCGAACGAGACCUUCGGGUCCAGUGGCGCACGGGUGCGUAACGCGUGGGAAACUGCCCUUAGGUUCGGAAUAACUCCCCGAAAGGGGUGCUAAUACCGGAUAAUGUCUCCGGACCAAAGAUUUAUCGCCUUUGGAUGGGCCCGCGUUGGAUUAGCUGGUUGGUAGGGUAAAAGCCUACCAAGGCGAGGAUCCAUAGCUGGGCUGAGAGGAUGAUCAGCCACACUGGCGCUGGGACACGGCCCAGACUCCUACGGGAGGCAGCAGUGGGGGAUAUUGGACAAUGGGCGAAAGCCUGAUCCAGCAAUGCCGCGUGAGUGAUGAAGGCCUUAGGGAUGUAAAGCGCUUUUACCCGGGAUGAUAAUGACAGUACCGGGAGAAUAAGCUCCGGCUAACUCCGCG